Molecule: ribosomal RNA, 253 nt
Filed under: uncultured bacterium
Lineage: Bacteria
Description: partial 16S ribosomal RNA
Rfam family: Bacterial small subunit ribosomal RNA
Source: RNAcentral
UACGGGGGGGGCAAGCGUUGUUCGGAAUUACUGGGCGUAAAGGGCUCGUAGGUGGCCAACUAAGUCAGACGUGAAAUCCCCAGGCUCAACUUGGGAACUGCGUCUGAUACUGGAUGGCUUGAAUUCGGGAGAGGGAUGCAGAAUUCCAGGUGUAGCGGUGAAAUGCGUAGAUAUCUGGAGGAAUACCGGUGGCGAAGGCGGCAUCCUGGACCGGCAUCGACGCUGAGGAGCGAAAGCUAGGGGAGCAAACGGG